This 1393-nucleotide ribosomal RNA is filed under the name uncultured bacterium. Its description in RNAcentral is "bacterial SSU rRNA". It matches the Rfam family "Bacterial small subunit ribosomal RNA". The record is from RNAcentral.
GAAUUCGCCCUUAGAGUUUGAUUCUGGCUCAGGACGAACGUUGGCGGUGUGCCUAAUACAUGCAAGUCGAACGGUGACGAUUUUGUAGCAAUACGAAUGAAAUCAUAGUGGCGAACGGGUGAGUAACGCGUUGGUGAUCUGCCUCGAAGUGUGGAAUAACUUCCCGAAAGGGUAGCUAAUACCGCAUAGUCUCUCAAGGUUUAGAAAAUUGGGAGUAAAGGAUUUAUUCGCUUCGAGAGGAGCCUGCGUCCCAUCAGCUAGUUGGUAGGGUAAUAGCCUACCAAGGCAAUGACGGGUAGGGGACCUGAGAGGGUGGCCCCCCACAAUGGAACUGAAACACGGUCCAUACACCUACGGGUGGCAGCAGUAGGGAAUAUUAGAAAUGGGCGAAAGCCUGAUGCAGCGACGCCGCGUGGAGGAUGAAGGCCUUCGGGUCGUAAACUCCUGUCUGGGGGGAUGAAUUUUUGACAGUACCCCCGGAGGAAGCCCCGGCUAACUGCGUGCCAGCAGCCGCGGUAAUACGUAGGGGGCAAGCGUUGUCCGGAAUUACUGGGCGUAAAGCGCGCGUAGGUGGCUUGUUAAGUCAGGUGUCAAAAUGCGGAGCUCAACUCCGCAGCGCACUUGAAACUGGCAGGCUUGAGUGCAGGAGAGGAAAGUGGAAUUCCUAGUGUAGCGGUGAAAUGCGUAGAUAUUAGGAGGAACACCAGUAGCGAAGGCGGCUUUCUGGACUGUAACUGACACUGAGGCACGAAAGCGUGGGGAGCAAACAGGAUUAGAUACCCUGGUAGUCCACGCCGUAAACGAUGAGUACUAGGUGUCGGGGGUUACCCCCCUCGGUGCCGUAGCUAACGCAUUAAGUACUCCGCCUGGGGAGUACGCUCGCAAGAGUGAAACUCAAAGGAAUAGACGGGGACCCGCACAAGUAGCGGAGCAUGUGGUUUAAUUCGAAGCAACGCGAAGAACCUUACCUAAGCUUGACAUCCUUUUGACCGAUGCCUAAUAGCAUCUUUCCCCUCGGGGACAGAAGUGACAGGUGGUGCAUGGUUGUCGUCAGCUCGUGUCGUGAGAUGUUGGGUUAAGUCCCGCAACGAGCGCAACCCUCGCCUUUAGUUGCCAGCAUUAAGUUGGGCACUCUAGAGGGACUGCCAGGGAUAACCUGGAGGAAGGUGGGGAUGACGUCAAAUCAUCAUGCCCCCUAUGCUUAGGGCUACACACGUGCUACAAUGGGUGGUACAGAGGGCAGCCAAGUCGUGAGGCCGAGCUAAUCCCUUAAAGCCAUUCUCAGUUCGGAUUGUAGGCUGAAACUCGCCUACAUGAAGCUGGAGUUACUAGUAAUCGCAGAUCAGAAUGCUGCGGUGAAAAAGGUCCCGGGUCUUGCACUCUCCGCCCGUCA